CAAAUCAGGUAGGACUACCCGCUGAACUUAAGCAUAUCAAUAAGCGGAGGAAAAGAAACUAACAAGGAUUCCCCUAGUAACUGCGAGUGAAGCGGGAAAAGCUCAAAUUUGUAAUCUGGCGGUCUUGGGCCGUCCGAAUUGUAAACUAGAGAAGCGUUAUCCGCGCUGGACCGUGUACAAGUCCCCUGGAAUGGGGCGUCAUAGAGGGUGAGAAUCCCGUCUUUGACACGGACUACCAGGGCUUUGUGAUGCGCUCUCAAAGAGUCGAGUUGUUUGGGAAUGCAGCUCAAAAUGGGUGGUAAAUUCCAUCUAAAGCUAAAUAUUGGCGAGAGACCGAUAGCGAACAAGUACCGUGAGGGAAAGAUGAAAAGAACUUUGGAAAGAGAGUUAAACAGUACGUGAAAUUGCUGAAAGGGAAACGCUUGAAGUCAGUCGCGUUGGCAAGGGAUCAGCCUUACUUCUGUGGGGUGUACUUCCUUGUUGACGGGUCAGCAUCAGUUUUGGCUGCUGGAUAAAGGUUAGGGGAAUGUGGCACCUCCGGGUGUGUUAUAGCCCCUAGCUGGAUACAGUGGCUGGGACUGAGGAACUCAGCACGCGCAAGCUGUGCUUAGGAUGCUGGCAAAAUGGCUUUAAUCGACCCGUCUUGAAACACGGACC
RNAcentral lists this ribosomal RNA (657 nucleotides) under [Nematoctonus] pachysporus. RNAcentral describes it as "eukaryotic LSU rRNA". It matches the Rfam family "Eukaryotic large subunit ribosomal RNA", at positions 1 to 667 of the family's 3401-position model. Lineage: Eukaryota; Fungi; Basidiomycota; Agaricomycetes; Agaricales; Pleurotaceae. RNAcentral also lists the same sequence under 1 other name. The record is from RNAcentral.